RNAcentral lists this ribosomal RNA (398 nucleotides) under uncultured bacterium. RNAcentral's name for it is "partial 16S ribosomal RNA". It matches the Rfam family "Bacterial small subunit ribosomal RNA", at positions 361 to 774 of the family's 1533-position model. The record is from RNAcentral.
AUAUUGCACAGUGGAGGGAACUCUGAUGCAGCAACGCCGCGUGAGUGAAGAAGGUUUUNGGAUCGNANAACCCUGUCAUUGGGGANAAAUAAAUGACGGUGCCCAAUUAGGAAGCCCCGGCUCACUACGUGCCAGCAGCCGCGGUAAUACGUAGGGGGCGAGCGUUGUCCGGAAUUACUGGGCGUAAAGGGUACGUAGGCGGCUAUAUAAGUCAGGUGUGAAAUACCAGUGCUUAACACUGGAAUUGCAUUUGAAACUGUGUAGCUUGAGUGCAGGAGAGGAAAGUGGAAUUCCUAGUGUAGCGGUGAAAUGCGUAGAUAUAGGAAGGAACACCAGUGGCGAAGGCGACUACCUGGACGACAACUGACGCUGAGGCACGAAAGCUAGGGGAGCAAACA